GGAGUCGUGUCUGGACAGC
RNAcentral lists this microRNA (19 nucleotides) under Ciona intestinalis (vase tunicate). RNAcentral describes it as "cin-miR-4148-5p". The record is from miRBase by way of RNAcentral. Lineage: Eukaryota; Metazoa; Chordata; Ascidiacea; Phlebobranchia; Cionidae.